UACGAAGGGGGCUAGCGUUGUUCGGAAUUACUGGGCGUAAAGCGCACGUAGGCGGAUCUUUAAGUCGGGGGUGAAAUCCCGAGGCUCAACCUCGGAACUGCCUUCGAUACUGAAGAUCUUGAGUCGGGGAGAGGUGAGUGGAACUGCGAGUGUAGAGGUGAAAUGCGUAGAUAUUCGCAAGAACACCAGAGGCGAAGGCGGCUCACUGGCCCGGUACUGACGCUGAGAUACGAAAGCGUGGGGAGCAAACAGG
RNAcentral lists this ribosomal RNA (253 nucleotides) under uncultured bacterium. RNAcentral's name for it is "partial 16S ribosomal RNA". It matches the Rfam family "Bacterial small subunit ribosomal RNA", at positions 524 to 776 of the family's 1533-position model. The record is from RNAcentral.